This 218-nucleotide ribosomal RNA is filed under the name uncultured bacterium. RNAcentral describes it as "partial 16S ribosomal RNA". It matches the Rfam family "Bacterial small subunit ribosomal RNA", at positions 116 to 334 of the family's 1533-position model. The record is from RNAcentral.
CGUGGGUAACCUGCCUCAUACAGGGGGAUAACAGUUAGAAAUGACUGCUAAUACCGCAUAAGCACACAGUACCGCAUGGUACAGUGUGAAAAACUCCGGUGGUAUGAGAUGGACCUGCGUCUGAUUAGCUAGUUGGUGAGAUAACUGCCCACCAAGGCGACGAUCAGUAGCCGACCUGAGAGGGUGAUCGGCCACAUUGGAACUGAGACACGGUCCAA